CACGUAGGGGGCAAGCGUUGUCCGGAAUUAUUGGGCGUAAAGAGCUCGUAGGCGGCUCGGUAAGUCAGGUGUCAAAUCCUCAGGCUCAACCUGGGGCUCCACCUGAUACUGCUGUGGCUAGAGUCCGGUAGGGGAGCGUGGAAUUCCUGGUGUAGCGGUGGAAUGCGUAGAGAUCCGGAAGAACACCGGUGGCGAAGGCGGCCUGCUGGGCGGCGACUGACGCUGAGGCGCGACAGCGUGGGGAGCAAACAGG
Molecule: ribosomal RNA, 253 nt
Filed under: uncultured bacterium
Lineage: Bacteria
Description: partial 16S ribosomal RNA
Rfam family: Bacterial small subunit ribosomal RNA
Source: RNAcentral